RNAcentral lists this long non-coding RNA (798 nucleotides) under Medicago truncatula (barrel medic). RNAcentral's name for it is "long non-coding RNA (MTRU_LNC001192)". The record is from RNAcentral. Lineage: Eukaryota; Viridiplantae; Streptophyta; Magnoliopsida; Fabales; Fabaceae.
GGAAAAAUAUGUUUUUCAUCCCUGUAAUUAUAGGCCGUUUGAUUUUUCAUCCCUGAACUUACUAAUCCUUCCAUUUUGCCCCUGUAAUUACUAAUCAUUUGAAAGUUCGUCCCUCUUCCCGGAUAAUCACUGCCACGUCAUCAAAUUAGCAAAAUGCCAUGGGAAUUGACAAAAAUACCCCUGACUUAUUUUUAAAAUUCUGAAAAUUGUUUUUAUAAAUUAAAAAAAUUCUAAAAAUAUUUUGAAAAUAACUUUUUCGAAAAAAAUGAAAUAAUUUUUCACAUAAUUUGAAAAAAUAUAUAAUCAGAUUUUUUCGAAAUUAAUAUUCUGAUUUUUAAAAAAAAUCAGAUUUUUUAAUAAUUUUCGAAAUUAUAUAUUCUGAUUUUAAAAAAAUAUAUAUAAUUUUCCAUAUUUCAAAAAAUAUAUUUUUUAAAAUUAUAUAAUCGUAAAUUUUUUCGAAAUUAUUAUUAUGAUUUUUAAAAAAAUCAGAUUUUUUAAUAAUUUUCGAAAUUAUAUAUUCAGAUUUUAAAAAAUUAUAUAAUUUUAUAUUUUUUUCAUAUUUCAAAAAAUUAUAUUUUUUUAAAUUUUUUUUAUUUUUUAAAAUUAUUUUCAGAUUUUUAAAUUUUUAAAAAUAAGCCAGGGGUAUUUUUGUCAAUUCCCAUGCCAUUUUGCUAAUUUGAUGACGUGGCAGUGAUUAUCCGGGAAGAGGGACGAACUUUCAAAUGAUUAGUAAUUACAGGGGCAAAAUGGAAGGAUUAGUAAGCUCAGGGAUGAAAAAUCAAACGGCCUAUAAUUACA